This 381-nucleotide long non-coding RNA is filed under the name Ananas comosus (pineapple). Its description in RNAcentral is "long non-coding RNA (ACOM_LNC036581)". The record is from RNAcentral. Lineage: Eukaryota; Viridiplantae; Streptophyta; Magnoliopsida; Poales; Bromeliaceae.
UACUCGUUCUAGGCUCUUGGUAUCAUGUCGUCGGCCGCCGACACAACCACCUCAAGACAAGAACUCACACAACUCGAAUCCAUCUCUAAUCACAACUAGAGACCUAUACCAGCUUCGACCCAAUCGAAUUAUCUUCCGCCAUCGCUAUAGGUUCACGUUCCGCUCACGCACCUAUAACCUUAAGGCUUGCCAACCUAGGGUCUCCUAGGUCAUCCUAAACUCUCUUUACUUGCUCUUAAAUCUCUGAUACCACAAAAGACUGUCACGCCCCGCCCCGAAACCACUACCAAUUUGGCACGACUCGGCCGCGGCGACGGACCGCUGAACGGACAGCACCUCCCUUGUCCGCCCAAGGCUCAACGACAGGAAUGUGACAAGAAU